RNAcentral lists this ribosomal RNA (195 nucleotides) under uncultured Vibrio sp. RNAcentral's name for it is "partial 16S rRNA". It matches the Rfam family "Bacterial small subunit ribosomal RNA", at positions 338 to 525 of the family's 1533-position model. Lineage: Bacteria; Pseudomonadati; Pseudomonadota; Gammaproteobacteria; Vibrionales; Vibrionaceae. The record is from RNAcentral.
CCUACGGGAGGCAGCAGUGGGGAAUAUUGCACAAUGGGCGAAAGCCUGAUGCAGCCAUGCCGCGUGUAUGAAGAAGGCCUUCGGGUUGUAAAGUACUUUCAGUCGUGAGGAAGGGUGUGUAGUUAAUAGCUGCAUAUCUUGACGUUAGCGACAGAAGAAGCACCGGCUAACUCCGUGCCAGCAGCCGCGGUAAUA